AGGUACGGCCCACCAAGGCGACGAUCAGUAGCCGGCCUGAGAGGGUGAACGGCCACAUUGGGACUGAGACACGGCCCAAACUCCUACGGGAGGCAGCAG
This 99-nucleotide ribosomal RNA is filed under the name uncultured bacterium. RNAcentral's name for it is "partial 16S ribosomal RNA". It matches the Rfam family "Bacterial small subunit ribosomal RNA", at positions 255 to 354 of the family's 1533-position model. The record is from RNAcentral.